UACGGGGGGGGCAAGCGUUGUUCGGAAUUACUGGGCGUAAAGGGCUCGUAAGCGGCCAACUAAGUCAGACGUGAAAUCCCCAGGCUUAACCUGGGAACUGCGUCUGAUACUGGAUGGCUUGAAUUCGGGAGAGGGAUGUGGAAUUCCAGGUGUAGCGGUGAAAUGCGCAGAUAUCAGGAGGAACACCAAUUGCGAAGGCAGCUCGCUGGGACGUUACUGACGCUGAGACGCGAAAGCGUGGGGAGCAAACAGG
This 253-nucleotide ribosomal RNA is filed under the name uncultured bacterium. Its description in RNAcentral is "partial 16S ribosomal RNA". It matches the Rfam family "Bacterial small subunit ribosomal RNA", at positions 524 to 776 of the family's 1533-position model. The record is from RNAcentral.